UCCAUAUUUCUAGAUAAAAUCGUGAACACAAUCACUACUAGAAACCUGACCUACAGCGACGGAAUUUGCGAUGGAUUCUAUCUGUAGCUAAUCAGUGACAGUUUAUUGGAUCAGCGACGGAACCCACAAAUAUUUUGAUCAAAAUAAUUAUAGUAUUUUAGGAAGGUAUUAAUGAGGGAUUAACGAUGGAUUAUCAGGAUUUUAUCGACAAAAAACCAUCCCUCGCUAAACCGUCAGUAAGUAAAACCUCCUAACGAGGGAACAACAACAGAUUGCAAAAAUUACAGGCCUUUUUUUCUUGACCCUCGCCAAGCCCUCGCAGAAAUCUACGCCUCCUUUUUUCAUUCCCCAUUUUUCUUUCUUUUCUUGUUCCCUCGUUUUAUUCUCAUUCCCUCUAAAUUCUUCACAAAGGAACAAUUUCCUCCAAAAGCCCUAAAUGAUCGUCAAGUCUCUCCUCCGCCCAAGAAAUCGCCUCCACCAUAGUCAACCUGCAUCGCUCGUCUUUGAAGCCUCUGAAAGGAAAACCUAAUCAUAAAGCACAUGCUCAUUGGCUUUCCUUUCGGUCCGUCUCCCUUCCUUGUUGACUCACCACUUAAUUCCCAGAUAACGCUUUUCGAUCUAUUGGUUCAUCAUAUAUUGUUGAUUUAGAUUGUACAACCGCUCAGCAGCAACAGCGGCGUCGAUCACCAGCGGUGUCGAUCACCUAAUAGCGUAGCGGCGGCGGUUCUGUUGGUGAUCUAGAACACUUUGAAAACUUGUAGUAAUUACAAAAAUUACUAACGAAAACGCACAACGAAAGCAAGAAAUCGAAAACGCACAACGAAAGCAAGAACGGUGCGUAGCAGCAAACAACUGAAAUCGACAGGUCCAAAAUGUUUGAAGGUUCCAAAAACGAUACAAGCAUCAAUCCCCGAUGUUGGGUUGCUAUGAAUUUCAAACAAUCAAUUCCAUAUGCACUUCUCCAGGCUUUUGUUUUCUCUAUUACUAAUCCUAAAUCAAACCUUGAUCCUAAUCCUAGCCAAUUUCCCAAAUCACCCAUAAAUUUUAGAAAAACUCAAGUUUUGAAUUAAGUUUGGUCAUUGUGUUGAGUUUAAUUUUAGAUUUAUGGAUUGUUGAAUCCGACAUGGACUUCUGCAAAUUUCCGUUGAUUUACUCUGGUUCUUUGCAUUAGAUUGCAGAGUAGGGUAAGACCAAUGUAUGUUGGUGGUUCUAAUGAUGGCUAUCUUAUGAAGGAGCAAGAAAUCCAAAAGAUGCUACAUGAUGGAUCAAUUCUUUUUUAGGAUUAUCUCAUAAAAAGGUGAACCAGAAUCCAGGAAACUUUUUGGUUGUCAUAGGACGCUUAUCGGGAUAUGGCAUCUGCACUUUCCAAGGCUGAUGGAAUUGACUAUACUGACCUUGAAAAGCUGGAGUUACUGGUUGCAACAAUAAUGGAUCUUGAUGCAAUAGAUGGUAAAGGGAGUGUGUCGUUAUUGGCAGAGUGUUCAACUUCUCCUGAUGUCAAUACAAGUUUGACAUCAGGUUAAUGGCAUGGCAUUGGUACUUCCAUUUUUUCAUUCUAUGGUCUGGGUUUAGGCUUUUGUAGAACACAAUCAAAUUCUUCUUUAAUCCAAAGACUACUGCUAAGGUUUAUGUUUUGGGCAGCACAUACCAAAACCAACUCCUCAAAAUGAUUGAUGUUGGGGGCUCUUCGGCUGCUCAGGAGAUUUUCCUCCUGAUGCCAUUCUCCGUCACCAAGAGUGCAACAAGGCUAACAAAAUUGCAUAUUAUUCUGAAUUGCAUAAAGUUCUUGGGUGGUACCUACAACUGUAUUAUUGAUAAGGUUGGUUGCAUGCGAUCAAAAAAGGGCUAAUGGCACUAGAGACCAUGAAGGUUAAUUUUGUGAUUUUAUUCCUAAUUAAAAAAAUUAGUUUUGGUGUGGUAGAUGGCCCAUUAUGGUCAAUACAAAUGUUCAAAGAUCAAACCCCAAAAGAGAAAUUUCUGAAGACCAAUAUGCAAACACGGUAUUUUUUUUUCAUCAUGUUUUUUCAUAUAUUUUUUGGUCGGAAUCGGAAUUCAAUUCCAUUCUAGUCCUGCAUUUAGUUUAGUUUCAAAUGAGUUAUGAGUAGACACUAAUGUCCUUUAUCAACGGAAAAGCAUGCUUCCAACAAACACCAUGUGUCCUUCCAUUGCAGGAAAAAGUAAGUAGAACUCCCUGUAAGUUAAGUUUUGUUUCUUCUUUUUGUUUUGUUGAUUAAAUUUCUAGUUUAGUUGUUUGUUGCAAUCCAUUCAUUUUUGACAUAUUGAUGAAGAAAUUUCUUUCUUGCAAGAAAUACCACAACUCCCUGAUCUCAAUCUUAAACAAAAAGUAGAAGAAUUCAGGAGUUUAGUAUCAUCAGCUGAUAAUUUUAAAAGGUGUUGGAAUUCAUCUCCUUAUCAUUUGGAGGAUCCGAGUGAAGGUGGUAAAAAGAAUGGAAGUAUUAUUAGAAGGCCUCCACAUGAUGUUGACUAUUGACUAUGUUCCUGUAGAACUAGGUA
Molecule: non-coding RNA, 2514 nt
Organism: Lactuca sativa (garden lettuce)
Lineage: Eukaryota; Viridiplantae; Streptophyta; Magnoliopsida; Asterales; Asteraceae
Source: RefSeq, a predicted model, not a curated record